RNAcentral lists this ribosomal RNA (449 nucleotides) under uncultured bacterium. Its description in RNAcentral is "partial 16S ribosomal RNA". It matches the Rfam family "Bacterial small subunit ribosomal RNA", at positions 29 to 523 of the family's 1533-position model. The record is from RNAcentral.
AACGAACGCUGGCGGCAUGCCUAACACAUGCAAGUCGAACGAGAUCUUCGGGUCUAGUGGCGCACGGGUGCGUAACGCGUGGGAAUCUGCCCUUUGGUUCGGAAUAACAGUUGGAAACGACUGCUAAUACCGGAUGAUGACGAAAGUCCAAAGAUUUAUCGCCAGAGGAUGAGCCCGCGUAGGAUUAGCUAGUUGGGGUGGUAAAGGCGCACCAAGGCGACGAUCCUUACCUGGUCUGAGAGGAUGAUCAGCCACGCUGGGACUGAGACACGGCCCAGACUCCUACGGGAGGCAGCAGUGGGGAAUAUUGGACAAUGGGCGAAAGCCUGAUCCAGCAGUGCCGCGUGAGUGAUGAAGGCCUUAGGGUUGUAAAGCUCUUUUACCCGGGAUGAUAAUGACAGUACCGGGAGAAUAAGCUCCGGCUAACUCCGUGCCAGCCGCCGCCGUAA